This is a long non-coding RNA of Diorhabda carinulata, 785 nucleotides long. RefSeq lists it as uncharacterized. The record is from RefSeq and is a predicted model, not a curated record. The transcript is spliced from 2 exons. NCBI's taxonomy places the organism in Eukaryota, Metazoa, Arthropoda, Insecta, Coleoptera, Chrysomelidae.
AAUAGUGAAAUAUUCGAUAACAGAGUUUACACGAAGCCGUACGACCUGCGAAAACCAGCAUCGCAGUGGUCGACCAAUUGAGGUGACGACUCCAGAAAUAUAGAUAUAGUAUGCAUUUCAAAAAGUACGGCACAUUGAAUAUUAGCUGAAAAUUUGACAUGAGAAAGCUGUGCGCAAGAUGGGUGCCGCGUUUGCACAAAAUGGAACAGAAACAGCUUCGUAUAUUAUGGGAGCUUAUAGCAACGUUUGAGAGAAGAAAUCAAGUAAAAACAGGCCGCAUUUGGCUAAGAAGAAAGUGUUGUUUCAUCAAGACAAUGCAUCAGCUCACAUAUUCGUUUUUGCAAUGGCCACAAUUAAAGUUUGGUUUGCUAGCUCAAUUACCUUAUUCACCAGAUGAAGUCCCCUCGGAUUAUUUUCGGUUCCCAGACUCGAAAAACUGGCUUGGUGGUCUAAUAUUUCUCAACAAUAAUGAUAAGAAAAACAAUAAAAUGGUGGUAAAAUUACAAAAAAAAAAGAAAAAUGGAGCUGUUAAUAACUUCUUCAACUGCCUCGUCGAUUGCUCUACGCCUUUGGUAUAGUUUUCUCAUAUUGACCCACAACACCGCAAGCGGUACAUAAAAUUAUUUACCCACAUACUUUACUACAUAUUAAUCAUAAAAAUAAGUUUAUUUUCAUUGGCUUGGCUUAUGUCGUAUUGCCCCAGAAGCUGAAUGAAUGGACUAUAUAUCAUCUGACUUAUUUGUAGUAUUCAUUUCAAUAAUAAAAAAAAACUAUUCUGAUCAUAA